UUUUGCGGAGUAUAGUUGAUGAAGGCAAAGCCGCGCGUCUGGUCGAUGACAUGAAACAGCGGGUUCCAAUAAAAGAACGGCAGCAUGAUGUUGGGCAGAAUAUUGGCCACGAACAUCUUGCCCGAGGCGAUCAUGUUGAUCCGCU
RNAcentral lists this non-coding RNA (145 nucleotides) under Paracoccus alcaliphilus. RNAcentral's name for it is "Ruegeria cis2 sRNA". It matches the Rfam family "Ruegeria cis2 sRNA". From Rfam's summary of the family: Cis-encoded. Targets ABC transporter. Lineage: Bacteria; Pseudomonadati; Pseudomonadota; Alphaproteobacteria; Rhodobacterales; Paracoccaceae. The record is from RNAcentral.